Molecule: transfer RNA, 74 nt
Filed under: Parascardovia denticolens
Lineage: Bacteria; Bacillati; Actinomycetota; Actinomycetes; Bifidobacteriales; Bifidobacteriaceae
Also listed under: 1 other name
Description: tRNA-Arg
Rfam family: tRNA
About the family: Transfer RNA (tRNA) molecules are approximately 80 nucleotides in length. Their secondary structure includes four short double-helical elements and three loops (D, anti-codon, and T loops).
Source: RNAcentral
GGCCCCGUAGCUCAGCUGGAUAGAGCAGGAAACUUCUAAUUUCAAGGUCGUGAGUUCGAAUCUCAUUGGGGCCA